CUGCGGCCUAUCAGCUUGUUGGUGAGGUAAUGGCCCACCAAGGCGAUUACAGGUACGGGCUCUGAGAGGAGAAGCCCGGAGAUGGGUACUGAGACAAGGACCCAGGCCCUAUGGGGCGCAGCAGGCGAGAAAACUUUGCAAUGUGCGAAAGCACGACAAGGUUAAUCCGAGUGACUUCUGCUAAAGAAGUCUUUUGCAAGUCAUAAAACCACUACUGAAUAAGGGGUGGGCAAGUUCUGGUGUCAGCCGCCGCGGUAAAACCAGCACCUCAAGUGGUCAGGAGGAUUAUUGGGCCUAAAGCAUCCGUAGCCGGCUCUGUAAGUUUUCGGUUAAAUCCAUGUGCUCAACGCAUGGGCUGCCGAAAAUACUGCAUAGCUAGGGAGUGGGAGAGGUAGACGGUACUCGGUAGGAAGGGGUAAAAUCCUUUGAUCUAUCGAUGACCACCUGUGGCGAAGGCGGUCUACCAGAACACGU
This 474-nucleotide ribosomal RNA is filed under the name uncultured Nitrososphaerota archaeon. RNAcentral's name for it is "bacterial SSU rRNA". It matches the Rfam family "Archaeal small subunit ribosomal RNA", at positions 215 to 690 of the family's 1478-position model. The record is from RNAcentral. Lineage: Archaea; Thermoproteati; Nitrososphaerota.